GGUUCAGUGGUCUAGUGGUAUGAUUCUCGCUUAGGGACUCACCCUGAGUAAUAUGCGAGAGGCCCCGGGUUCAAAUCCCGGCUGAACCC
This is a non-coding RNA of Xylariaceae sp. FL0255, 89 nucleotides long. The record is from the annotation of a GenBank genome assembly. NCBI's taxonomy places the organism in Eukaryota, Fungi, Ascomycota, Sordariomycetes, Xylariales, Xylariaceae.